CAUUGCUUGUAGUGUUUAUUUAGUUAUUUAUUAGAUUUCUAUCCCGCCCCAUAGCCGAAGCUCUCGAGGCGGUUCACAACAAAUGUGUUAAGCGGACAAACGUUGAGAAUAAUCCAUACUGGGUUAGUUGAGUGAUUAUUACCCAAAUAACGAGGGGGAAAUCCAGUGGGGAAAAUUCCAUGCAAGGGAAUUGUGAAGAAUAAUUAAAAGAAGAAGGCUUUUUGUUUCCAUUAAAAACACAAAAAGCCAAAACCCACAGAGGAGCAAUACUAUUACUAGGACGAACUAAAACGUCUGAAGCCGUGAAACAAGAACUCGGUCCUUUAGCCAGGGGCGUAACUACCGCGGUGCGGCGGGUGCGGGCCGCACCGGGCGUCACCACGAGCCGCCCCCCGCCCUAGGCACCGCGGCCGGGAAGCGGCGGGCGCGGCCAAGGAAGAGAGAGAGAGGAGCGAGCGCGGCAACUGCCCUCUUGACUCAGCACCCGCCCUGCCGCCUCGCAGGCUGGCAGAAUGGUGCAAUCUCUCUGCCGCUCCGCAGUUCCAGCAGCCUGAGGCCGGGCAUGCCGCAAAGCAACCCAGAAAAUCCCUCCUGGCUUUAGGCUGUUAGGGACAGCCCCGAGCAAGCAGCCGGCCAGCUCGGGGCAAGUUAGUUCUUGAUCAGCCUUGUGGUGGUGGUUCUUGAGGAAGAGACCACCUCAGCUGAACAUCGAGUUUACCUCUGGACUUCUCAAAACUGGGGUUUUGGCCACAGAGUGAAUAAUAUGAGGCACAGACACCAGAGUUUCGGGAAGGUAAAGUGGAAGAGACACAGAAUCCUGGAAUGUCUCGGAAUCUUUAACUAAGCACUGUUGGAGCUGCUCAUCAAACCUAGACCAGCAAAGCUUUUCAUACAGGCACUCAGGGAGAUGUUCCACUUCUGAAACGGCCACUGUUAGAUCUGCUCCACUGGAAAUAUUUAGUUCUUUGUUGUCUAUUUGCUGGCUGGCACAAUAUUCAGUUGGAAACAUUGAAUAAGAAUACAGCUUUGCAACACGCUGAGUCUUUAUCUCAGACCUAGACAAUGAGAAAUAUCAAGCACAGGCAAUUGUGUGCUUUAUACCAGAAUUAUGACAUAUCGGUAAGUCAGCUCUAUUGGUCCAGGAUGAAACCACGGCUCCAUCUCGUUCAGCAUUCUAUUUGCAAAGGUCACAGCAUGAUGCUCCCAGGAAAUGGGAGAUAACGUAUAUUGGAUAUCCUAUAAUGUGGCCCGUUUCGCCCAUGCUGCUCAAAAAUUGAGGGCCAAAUACUUAACUACUCAGGGUUUACAUACAGCUUCAGGCUUAUAGGUUUUAAUGUCUUAUAUGGUUCGUAUACAGAAUUUAUUUAUUUUAAUGCUGUUCUAUACUAUUGUAUGUGUUUUUAACUUUGUUUGUACGUUGCGGCCGCCUAAGGCCUGCAAUAAAGAUGAUGAUGAUGAUGAUGAUGAGUCUGCUGGAUUAAGCCAAUGGCCCAUCUAGCAUCCUGUUCUCACAGGGGCCAACCAUGGGAUGCCCGCAAGCAGGACCUGAGUGCAAGAGCAUUCUCCCAUCCUGCGGUUUCCAGCAAAUGGUAUUUGGAAGCAUACUGCCUCUGACUGUGGAGGGACAACAUAGCUCAUCAUGGCUACUAGCCACUGAUAACCUUAUCCACCAUGAAUUUGUCUAAUCCUCUUUUAAAGCCAUCCAAGUUGGUGGCCAUCAGGCCUCUUAUAUAAUUAUGUGCUAUAUGAAGAAUCUUCCAACAUUCCAAUUCAUUAGAUGCCACAAGUUCUAAUUUUAUGAGAGAGGGAGAAAAACUUUUCUCUAUCCACUUUUUUCAUGCCACACAGAACUUUAUACACUCUUAUGUCACCUCUUACUCGCCUUUUCUCUAAACAAAAAGGCUCAAAUACCACAACCUUUCCUCACAGGGAAGUCACUCCAUCUCCUUGAUCAUUUUGGUUGCCUUUUUUUGAACCUUUUCCAACUCUACAAUAUCCUUCUUGAGAUGAGGCGACCAGUACUCCAAGUGUGGCCACACCAUCGAUUUAUAUAACGGCAUUAUGAUAGUGGCACUUUUAUUUUCAAUACUUUUCCUAAUGAUCCCUAGCAUGGAAUUUGCCUUUUUCACAGGAUAACACUUCAUGCUUUGGAUGAAGUGUAGUUCAUGAAAGCUUAUGCCAUAAUAUGUUUAUUAAACUUUAAGAUGCCACAAGACUUUUUGUUGUUUAUGUCUAUGUCAUCUGCUAUUACCAAUUACUUUCCUACAGAAAUUUAUUAUAGGAACAGGGCUAAAGGUUGACCUUUAGGGACCCCAAAUUCUUCUCCAGCUCAGAAUAAAAUCUUGACUGGGGAAGAAUUCCCAGUUUACUCUACUCCUUCCCACUCAGCCUCCAAUCCCUGAACCUUCCUCCCUUUAAGCUCUACUUACCACCCAGGACCAUCCCACUGUCCCGAAAUAUACAAGAUCAAACAGAGGCAGCAAGGGAAAUGAGCAAGACUCUUGGUGCUAGAGGCAAAGUUAAUAUGUGCUAAACACAACUUGACAGAAACCAGGAAAAUAUUUUUAAAAGAUUAAAACAGUCCAAAUACAUUUACUACCUGGGUUUAUCGGUAUAUGCGGAGGUUUCCAGUCUCUCAAUUUAUGGUUAAUGCAGAGUGCCAAGAUGCUAUCCCAAGGGAUCUCCUCUACAGAAGGGCCAUCGUCGUUUGAGCUGGCAUCCUUCCUGCUCUUCCACUUGAAGUAGGUUCUGCUCAGCAAAUUCUCUGCCUGAGACUGAAGUAUCUCCAGGGUCUGAAUAGAACUGGAAGUCUGGGACAAAUAUUGGAAAAUCAUGGCACAAACAGGACGCCAAGGAGCUGGAGGAUGGAGGAGGAAGAGAAGAUACAUUUAUUAAAGUCCAUGCCUAACAAUAAGAGAAAAAACUAUGGCUAAUGUUAUAUCCCAAUUUCUGCUCUGGUAUAAGCCAAACUGGUACCCUUUGUAGACCUUAAUUGAGUUUAAACUAUGAUUUAACACAGAACACCAAGCUUUUAAAAGUCCAAUAUAAUAGUUAACCUCUAAUGAGAAAGUGUUGUGGAAUAUUUAAAAAAUACUGAAAGCUGUGCAGCAAUGUCAGGCCUAUUUUUGCCAAGCAGACCCAGAAAAUAUAGGAACUGCAAAGUUUCUUGCAUCAACAUCUGGUGGAGUCAGGAUUCUUCAUUAGGCAAAACAGAAAGCCAUUCCUCCGUGUGUGCGUGCGUGCGUGCGUGCACGCACGCACACACACACGUGCGUAUUGGCAAAGCUAUUUCCCAAUGCAAUAUUUUAAUAAAUUUCAGAACUAUAAUCAGACAUACAUCAAAAUACAUGAAACUCAAUGGAAGCAACGUGGAAUUCCAUAAGAUCAUUUCUUUCUAUUCCAUUGUCUUUUGCGUUGAACAAGACAAUUAUUAAUUAGAACAUUUUAUUUGUGUGUCAAUACAACAGUGUCUAAGCUGGACAACAAUUUGAAACUUAUUGUUCUGUCUGGUUAGGAGUUCUUACCACUCAAAGGAGGGAGAUCCAUCUGUGGGAUCUGGAAGGACAGCAGUGCUUUCUUCAGCCAACCCUGGUGGCUGGGUGUGUUCCACUGGAGAUGUGGAAGCACCUUGCUGCCCCCAGGCUCCACAAAUUCAGCUACAGGCCAGGACAGUUCACCGAGAUCUUCUGAAGAGGCAACUUCAGCCAGGAACUGUACCACACUAUUAUAUAGCUCUAUAAUGGCGCUAGGAUCUUGGGAGGGCAAGCCAGCCACAAAUCUCUCCUUCAUGUCUUGGUAGAAACGUUUGUUGAAUUCACGGUCAAGGCCAUCUUCAACAUACUGCAUGAGCGCCUGGCAGUGAAGCUUGUCUAAGUCUGGGCACUGAGCAACUAGCCACUGCACUGCUUCAGAGAGCUGUAGACAGAGUUACACACAACAAAUUCACUAGUUGACAAAGAAGAAUAUAAAGUGUAAAUCCAUAUCAAUUAAUUCCCAUAUUAAGGAAGUCAGUCCUGUUGACACAGAAACCAUUUUCAUCCUCUCUCACACACUCAGCCCUUCCCCCAACACAACUCUCAGGAUUGGGCAGUCACCUAUAGCAGGGGUGGGGAACCUUUUUGGCCUGGUGGGCCAGGUCUUCCCUCCCCACCCUAUGGGCCAACUUUGACAGGUGGGCAGGACUACCCACCUGUCAGUCAUCUGACAUUAUGCCAUCAAGUCCUGCCCACCUGCCAAAGCUGACCUGUAGGAUGGGGAGGGGGAGAUAACAAACAGGACUAAACUCGCCACACAUCAGCUGGGGUGAAGGGAGCUUAAUCCUGCUUUCUGCAGGCUCCCUGUGUGCAAGUGAUUUCUGUGAGGACUCCAUGCAUCUGAACAGAGCAGGACUGAACUCCCCAUGUAUCAGCUGAUGGCCUGUGUGUAUUUAUUUAUUUAUUUAGUUAGUUUAAUUUAUAUACCGCCCUAAGCCCAAAGGCUCUCUGGGCGGUGUACAAAAAGAUAAAAACAAGCACAAUAUAUAAAUACAAUAAAUACAAUAAAUAAUAAUAAUAAAAAAAACAAUAACGAACCAAACAACAUCCAAAAUACGGAAAUGCUGUUUAAAAUACACUUUAAAAUGCCUGGGAGUAUAAAAAGGUUUUCACCUGGCGCCGAAAAGAUAGUAGCGUCGGCACCAGGCGCACCUCAUCAGAGAGACUGUUCCACAGUUCGGGGGCCACUACUGAAAAGGCCCUGGUUCUAGUCAUCACCCUCCGAGCCUCUCGAUGGGAUGGUACUCGGAGGAGGGCCUUAGAUGUUGAACGUAGUGUACGUGUUUGAAUCCUGCUUUUUACAGGCUUCAGGUGCACAAGGGAGUUCCCCACAGGAAACUAGCAUGCAUAGCCAAACCAAGCAGGAUUGUACACCCCCCCCAUCAGGUUUAGGAAAAAUGGCUUUACAGACCAAAUUGGAGCCCCUUGUAAUCUAAGACUGGCCCAUCAGCUGGACGUUGCCCUCCCCACAAGAAAAAUUCCACCCUAGGAGUUCUCCUGGAUCCCAAUUUGCUCUUUGGUAGACAGAAUUUGGGGGGUCCCAGGAAUUUGUUUUAUCAAAUAGAUCCUAUUUCCAGAGAGGAUAGAUCUAACUUUCUCCACAUUUUUAUAUGUUCCAGAAAUAACUAUUGUAACAUGCUCUAUGUGGGGCUGACCAUCAACCCAGAAACUUCAAUUAGUGCAGUGUUGCUGCCUGUUUCCUGUUAAGAGAGCAUAUUCACCCUUAAAAAAAGUUGCUAGGAAACUACAGAGCUGAACAGAAGCGACAUUCUGGCCCCUGGCGCUGGAGAGAGCAGCAGCAGCUGCAGGGAGCUUGCUUUCCCCUUCCCUGUUAGAAAGAAGCCAGACUACAGAACUGAAAGGGAGUGCAUUCUUACCCCAUCCAUCAGCCAAAGAACUAAGGGCUGCUGGGUUCUGUGUACACAGUGUAGGUUUUUGUUUGAUUGUAAUAAAACAAUCUUGCUGUAAGCUGCCUUGAGGAUCAUCUUAUUGAAAGGUAGGAUAUAAAUCUUUUAAAACAGUAAACCAAUUUAUUCUGCUGCCGCUCCACUAGUUACAGGUCCAAUUCAAAGAGCUGGCUCUUACCUUUAAAGUCCUUCCUGGCCUAGGACCCACAUCUGGUAAGAGGCUGCCUUCCCCCAUAUGAUCUCCACUGCUGUUUACAAUCUACAAGGCAAGGCCUACUCCAUGUGCUUAACACCACAUGGGAAGAGAGCAUGCCAGGAAGAAGGAGGAAUGCCUUCACCGCAAUUGUUCCAAACCCUUGGAACCUCCUCCCCCAUGAAUAGCCUCCCUGCACUGAACGUGGCAUAUAAACAUUUUUAAACAAAAUAAAAUUGAGGACUGAAUUCGUACAUUCAAGUACAAAAAUAAAAAACAGGCUAUACGUUUUUGAAAAACGAACAGUGAAUGCAGCAGCAUAGUUGAAAGUUUUAGUAAUUUCAUGGCUGCUGAAUACAAGCCCAAAUUACUUCUAGAGUUUCGCAUAGUUUUGUUUUAAAGUACUGAUUCUGUUACAUUUACAUCCCACCUUUCUUCAAAGGAGCUCAAGAAAGCAGACAUGGUUGUCCCUUCUCCAUCUUAUCCUCACAACAACUUGUGAGAUAGGCAGAGAGUGAGUGAUUGGCCCAAGAUCAUCCAGUGAGCUUCAUGGCUGAGUGUGAAUUUGAACCCUGGUCUUCCACCUCCUAGUCGUGACAGUCUAAUCAUUACACCACACUACUUUUUCUAUGUUUGGGGGUUACCAACCAACAGCUUUAAAAUGUGACUGAAAUAUAUGGGUAGGGCCACACUCAAGAGCCACCUCAGCCUUCAUCAAAGAAAAUGCUUUGAAAGUUAUACAUCGGUGGCACCUCCAGUCAAAUGGAACUAUAUCAACUUGUCCCUCUCCCCUCUGUGUUGGAGGGGAUGCCUGGUCCAUUGCUCUUUCCUACACUUAUGGUGGGACUGUAAUAAAGUGAGACAAUUCUGGAGUGAUGUUUUUCAAAUUGCUAGUAAAGUCCUUAAAGCUACAAUUAUCCCAGAUCUGGCCUUGGCACUUCCUUUCCUUAAAGGGGGUUCUAUUGCUCCUAAAACUCAGACGUCUCCCCUAUCCAGAUUCCUACUUGCAGUGAGGCUUGAAACAGCCAAAAAUUGGAAGGGAGCAGAACAUUUAUCAAUAAAAAAUUGGUUUAACAGACUUUGGCAACUUGCACUAGAUGAAAAAUUAACUCAAGAGUGAAAAAAAGCUUGGGGGGAGACAUCCUCCUAUAAAUUUACUCCAAUUUGGUAUCCCUUUUUAUGUUAUGCUAUCAAAGCUGAGGCAGAAGCGAGACCACCCUCAUCAUUAACUUCCUUUUGGUGGGAUGUGUACCCUCCCUUUUGAUUCUAUUAUUCUGCUUCCUGCUAUUCUUUCUGUUUUAUAUAUAAAGCUUCCGUUGAUGAAUGUACCCUUUUUCUAUUUCAUAUAGUGACAUUUUAUUGUAUUUUGAUUGUUUUACUUGUUAAGUUUACU
Long non-coding RNA from Rhineura floridana, 7026 nucleotides. RefSeq lists it as uncharacterized. The transcript is spliced from 5 exons. NCBI's taxonomy places the organism in Eukaryota, Metazoa, Chordata, Lepidosauria, Squamata, Rhineuridae. The record is from RefSeq and is a predicted model, not a curated record.